RNAcentral lists this ribosomal RNA (253 nucleotides) under uncultured bacterium. RNAcentral describes it as "partial 16S ribosomal RNA". It matches the Rfam family "Bacterial small subunit ribosomal RNA", at positions 524 to 776 of the family's 1533-position model. The record is from RNAcentral.
GACAGAGGGUGCGAGCGUUAAUCGGAAUUACUGGGCGUAAAGGGCGCGUAGGUGGUUAAAUAAGUCUGAUGUGAAAUACCUGGGCUUAACCUGGGAAUGGCAUUGGGAACUGUGAGACUAGAGUGAAGUAGAGGGUAGUGGAAUUUCCGGUGUAGCGGUGAAAUGCGUAGAUAUCGGAAGGAACACCAGUGGCGAAGGCGGCUACCUGGACUUUUACUGACACUGAGGCGCGAAAGCGUGGGGAGCGAACAGG